This 356-nucleotide ribosomal RNA is filed under the name uncultured bacterium. Its description in RNAcentral is "bacterial SSU rRNA". It matches the Rfam family "Bacterial small subunit ribosomal RNA", at positions 29 to 412 of the family's 1533-position model. The record is from RNAcentral.
AACGAACGCUGGCGGCAGGCCUAACACAUGCAAGUCGAACGCCGUAGCAAUACGGAGUGGCAGACGGGUGAGUAACACGUGGGAACGUACCCUUCGGUUCGGGAUAACUCAGGGAAACUUGAGCUAAUACCGGAUACGUCCGAGAGGAGAAAGAUUUAUUGCCGAGGGAUCGGCCCGCGUCUGAUUAGCUUGUUGGUGAGGUAACGGCUCACCAAGGCGACGAUCAGUAGCUGGUCGAGAGGAUGAUCAGCCACAUUGGGACUGAGACACGGCCCAAACUCCUACGGGAGGCAGCAGUGGGGAAUAUUGGACAAUGGGGGAAACCCUCGAUCCAGCAAUGCCGCGUGAGUGAUGAA